Long non-coding RNA from Acanthochromis polyacanthus (spiny chromis), 898 nucleotides. RefSeq lists it as uncharacterized. NCBI's taxonomy places the organism in Eukaryota, Metazoa, Chordata, Actinopteri, Pomacentridae. The transcript has 4 exons. The record is from RefSeq and is a predicted model, not a curated record.
CUCUCAACUUUCUAACCAGCGAAAGCGAGACAGCAGCCCACCAGGAGCCUCCAGCCAAGUGGUCCUGCACCCCCUCUGGCUUUCAGCGUGGAGGCGAGGAACCAUCCCGGCCGGAGGAACACGCUGCCCAGCCAGAAAGGAGCACCAGCCCCCAGCCGUCCACCUCUGGCUCACAGCAUUACCCUCCAGAGCCUCACAUAAGUCUCAUCCCCCCACCGUACACCUCAGAAUCAGAUUCAGAUUCAGACUAUUAUUCCGAUUCUGGUGUAGAGGGAGAUGUGGAUACUGACUCAGACUCUGAUUUCCAGGACAAGAGGAGCUCCAGCCCCCCGAGGUCCAACUCUGCUCAGCAAGCGAGGACGUCCCGGCAAAUCUCCACCCCGGGGGAGAAAGAGCAGAGUCAGGGAGGAGAUGGAUCAGAGGCCAGCAGCAGGGACAAGGAUGUAGGGUCUUUACAGAUGUUCAGAGGGAGCUGAUGCCACAUCUGGUCCAGCUGAUGGAAGGUCUUGAAGUUCUCUGACUGAAGAUGGUCCUCUCACUGGAUUUAAGUUUCAGAUGCUCAGGAACAAACUCCACCAAUGAGCCAACAGGAAAGCUUUAGUUUUAUGAAAUGUUGCUAUGAAGCAUGAAGACUAAACUCUCCACAAGGACCCAAAAUAAGUUGGACUUCUACAUGAGAGCUUUAGUUAUUCUUCAUCUACUUCCUGAAAAGUUUGGUCAAUAAAAAAGACAAAAACUAAUAUUUUCAGCUGAGCUAAAGACAGACUUUGUGAUUUUUCUGCUCACAUGUCUAGGCUUGCGCUAGCCGAUCGCCACAGCGCCAUUGGCGCAUCGUUUUGCUGGAUGGCGCAGUCAUCCUGAACUGUGUGAGCCACAGUGGCGCUCUAUUUUUCUUGUA